UUUUGUGGAGGGUUCGAUUCUGGCUCAGGAUGAACGCUGGCGGCGUGCUUAACACAUGCAAGUCGAACGGGAUCCACCGGGCUUUGCUUGGUGGUGAGAGUGGCGAACGGGUGAGUAAUGCGUGACCGACCUGCCCCAUACACCGGAAUAGCUCCUGGAAACGGGUGGUAAUGCCGGAUGCUCCAGUUGAUCGCAUGGUCUUCUGGGAAAGCUUUCGCGGUAUGGGAUGGGGUCGCGUCCUAUCAGCUUGACGGCGGGGUAACGGCCCACCGUGGCUUCGACGGGUAGCCGGCCUGAGAGGGCGACCGGCCACAUUGGGACUGAGAUACGGCCCAGACUCCUACGGGAGGCAGCAGUGGGGAAUAUUGCACAAUGGGCGCAAGCCUGAUGCAGCGACGCCGCGUGAGGGAUGGAGGCCUUCGGGUUGUAAACCUCUUUUAUCGGGGAGCAAGCGAGAGUGAGUUUACCCGUUGAAUAAGCACCGGCUAACUACGUGCCAGCAGCCGCGGUAAUACGUAGGGUGCAAGCGUUAUCCGGAAUUAUUGGGCGUAAAGGGCUCGUAGGCGGUUCGUCGCGUCCGGUGUGAAAGUCCAUCGCUUAACGGUGGAUCCGCGCCGGGUACGGGCGGGCUUGAGUGCGGUAGGGGAGACUGGAAUUCCCGGUGUAACGGUGGAAUGUGUAGAUAUCGGGAAGAACACCAAUGGCGAAGGCAGGUCUCUGGGCCGUUACUGACGCUGAGGAGCGAAAGCGUGGGGAGCGAACAGGAUUAGAUACCCUGGUAGUCCACGCCGUAAACGGUGGAUGCUGGAUGUGGGGCCCGUUCCACGGGUUCCGUGUCGGAGCUAACGCGUUAAGCAUCCCGCCUGGGGAGUACGGCCGCAAGGCUAAAACUCAAAGAAAUUGACGGGGGCCCGCACAAGCGGCGGAGCAUGCGGAUUAAUUCGAUGCAACGCGAAGAACCUUACCUGGGCUUGACAUGUUCCCGACGGUCGUAGAGAUACGGCUUCCCUUCGGGGCGGGUUCACAGGUGGUGCAUGGUCGUCGUCAGC
This 1049-nucleotide ribosomal RNA is filed under the name Campylobacter coli. RNAcentral's name for it is "bacterial SSU rRNA". It matches the Rfam family "Bacterial small subunit ribosomal RNA", at positions 1 to 1059 of the family's 1533-position model. Lineage: Bacteria; Pseudomonadati; Campylobacterota; Epsilonproteobacteria; Campylobacterales; Campylobacteraceae. The record is from RNAcentral.